Quercus robur (English oak) is the source of this 1691-nucleotide long non-coding RNA. RefSeq lists it as uncharacterized. The record is from RefSeq and is a predicted model, not a curated record. The transcript is spliced from 6 exons. NCBI's taxonomy places the organism in Eukaryota, Viridiplantae, Streptophyta, Magnoliopsida, Fagales, Fagaceae.
CUAUUACGUGGGCUGGACUCAUGGUGCAGUGCACCCAACAAUUUUUCCUCUAUUCAAAACUAAGAGCUCAAUUCUCAAACUAGAGUCGCUGUUAGCUAUCAUGUUUCAAUCUCCAAACCCAACAUCUCUCUCAGAGCAUAAAGAAGUUACUGAGCACUCCCAUAUUGGACGAUGACUGGGAGAAGUGCGUUAUUAGAGAACUGAUGGCUGCCCGAAGAAUCUAAAGCUCGUGCUUCAAGAUCUCUUCAGGAGUUCGAAUUAUCCAUCGGUGAGUUACAGAAAGCUCCCAUGGACCGCGUUGGCUGGGUGAAGCUCUAUGCUAAAGAAACGAAGGAUGCCUCCAAUAAAGAUGAUGCUAUAGCUCGUGGUUCAAGAGUGUUUGAUGCUUUCGAGUCAUCCAUCCUUGCAAUUGCAAACACUGGGAUUAACCAGAUGGCGGAACAAGGAAAAACACUCUUACAGGAACUGCAGAGUGUAAAGAACUGAAAUUGGAGUUGCAACAGCUGAAGCAACUGGUGACUCAGAAGAGUCAGAACCAAAUUGGGCGGAAGACAUUAAAGCAAAUUGUAGAACUUCUUCAGGCAGCGUAUGUACGUGAGCAACAACUGGCAUCGCAUUUAGAGGCGAGGACUAAUGAAUUGGACCAGCAACUACAACAGAUUCAGCGCAGCAACUCCAACCAAGCGCAGCGCUUCCAUGCACCCUGAUAUCUUCUAUUGAUUCUUGGAUACGUUAGUUUGGCCUAAUGGUUGGAUAAUUAGUAUGUUAGUUCUUUCAACUGCUGUGAAAAAGGUUAUGCUGUUUAUCUGUAGGUACUACAAAUGGUGUUUCCCCUCUUAUAUUCAAACGGUAGGUAGUGAUGAAAGACCCAUUUUAGAUUUAAUUUGAAUACACCUUUAUGGAUUACUUCUCUUUACUGCUUGUGUCCUCAGAUUUCAAUAUUGAAUCUCUUUUUUUAGUAAGUAAUUUCAAUAUUGAAAUUGAUACACAUCAUAGAUGUUUGUAGGCUUGAGUUUAGAGAUCAAAUCAAGUGUAAUUGUAGGCUGGAGGCUAUGUUCCAAUGAGAGGGGUGUGCUAAUGUCAGCACCGACAAGGUCACCAGAAUCCGAAGAACAAACCAUCUGACUUGCCGGAACCUCCUGAUAUUUGCAGUGAUUUUCCCAAUAUUUUUGGAGCCAUCUGCAAUGUCUUUUUCAUUUUCCAUUGUUUUCUUUUACCCUUGGCACCAAUUCAACCCUAGAACUCACUAAAAAGCAUUGGAGGCUGUGUUCAAUGAUAGAGAUCCAUGUACCUGACAAGGUGAGCUACUAUAUGGAGGUUAAGGGUGGCGUAGUGCAAGGAACCCGGUGUUGUGAGGCAGGUAGGUGCAUGAUUGAGAAAACUGUAGUAUGUAAAUGCCUUGUUUGAUGUAUUGUAUUUAGCUCAGAUUCAGGAUGGGAUAGAAGACAAAGUGUGUUAGACACUUAGAAGUCAUGACAGGAGUUAUCUAUGGAACUAUAUAGAGGAAUCGAAAGGGAAAAAUACACAAUAAGCUCAAAACAUCAUUCAGGAUAAGAAAUCACUUACUUUUUGUUGAAGUACUCUGAAAAUGUCAUAUUUUGAUGAGGCAUUGUCAGUGUUUCCACCAAAAGGACUCUCAGCAGAGAUAUUAUUCACAACCUCAACAACAAAGUAGAUUUUUCCAGUGUGAA